This 309-nucleotide unclassified non-coding RNA is filed under the name uncultured fungus. RNAcentral describes it as "sequence contains ITS1". The stretch from base 1 to 101 matches the Rfam family "5.8S ribosomal RNA", at positions 50 to 154 of the family's 154-position model. Lineage: Eukaryota; Fungi. The record is from RNAcentral.
GAAGUGCGAUAAGUGUCAUGACUUGCAGAUCCCCGAGAGCUGACAAAUCUCUGAAUGCAAAUGGCGGCCAACUUCCGUUGGUCAUGUAUUGCAGAGUGUAGUUGUUCAUACUCAUCAUCCUCCCUCACACAACUGUGUGCAGUGGAGGGAUCUGCGCUUGUGUUCUCCGGACGCGAGCGUGAAAAGUCAGAGUGGAACAUCCGUCAAACGGUGUUCCAACUUCGGAGUACUCGUAUACUAGAAGUUCUUUCAUUAGACUCUGUAUUUUCGUAUUCACCUCUGCAAUGCAGGAAAACCCGCUGAACUUAA